Molecule: non-coding RNA, 1579 nt
Organism: Chiloscyllium plagiosum (whitespotted bambooshark)
Lineage: Eukaryota; Metazoa; Chordata; Chondrichthyes; Orectolobiformes; Hemiscylliidae
Source: RefSeq, a predicted model, not a curated record
CAACUCAACACAACUACAAUUCUGGUCAGUCAGAGUUCCUCGUAUCAGAGAGAGCAUCCUGAAUUUCAUUGCAUUUUAAUGUUUUAUGGGAGUUCAUCGGUACUGAUUGUCCUGGUUAUGAUAUUUACUGUCUACGUGGGUUGGAGCUGCAGGAAUUCUGACUCAGGAAACUGGCACAUGCAUCAGAAAUCCACAGACUAUUCACCACGUGAUCCAAAGCCGGAGACCCUCUACGCUGAAUUGGCCUUUAAUGAAGAUCUGAUACUUUGAUGGGACGAACACUCAUGAAAUGUUUUCUCUUAUUGGAAAGUCAGUAACAAGCGCUCUUUAGGAGUAAUUGAAAGAACCUUUCCUCGAACUUGUACUGUGCCUAUGUAUUUUAAGACCCAUUAACAAGAAGGUGGAAAUUUACCUCGAAAGAGCAUCUGACACAAUUGACUCUAGAGCGUGAAACUAUCGCCAGACGAAGAUUUCACUAUCUCUGACCAAUGUCAUUCUUAAUUAUCUGAUGAAUUCCCACUCCGAAGUGGGAUUGAUCAAAACAGAAGUGAUUCAACCACUAUUAAGGACUGUUUUGAUUCUUGUUUUUUAUUAUUCUCUCAGGUAUGUGGACAUUGCUGUCAAGGUCAAUACACAUUAAGAAUCCUAAAUGAUUAUUUAGAAGAUAAUACAAAGUUUCACAUGUAUCUGAUGUAGAUGUUGAAUGACAGGGAUAUCAAAGUGUCAUUUAAGAUGAUGAUAAAUAUGUUGAACUCGUGGCACUGGUAGAAUAACUGCAUAUUUAUAAAUUAUUAUGACGACAAGUUUGGAUUCGAAUGUCUGCUUUAAUUUGAUUUGAUUCAUUGUUGUCACACAUUCCUAAGCACAGUGAAAAGUUUUGUAUUGCGAGCAGGGAAGGCAGAUCAUAACACAGAGUGUUUGCAGACUUAGAAUUGAGGUUUGAAGUGUGGAAUGGUUGUAAAAAAUGUGAGAAUAAGAUCAGCUAUACAGAGCUCAGAAAAAUUCGAGCGAUGUCAAAGCCAUUUCGUAGGCUCCUCGGACCCUGCUAGAUAUAUCCCUGUUAAUAUCAAUUCUGGUUUUGGACAUUUCUUCUAAAUGACAUUUGUGAUCUCAUAAAUGUCUCAUAAAGUAGCAGAAAUCUGGAAAUGACGGUGGCGUAGCUCAUCCACUCUUUCAACUCAAUUUCUCUUCCUGUUCGUCGGUUUAGUUUCUACCAACUUACCUUUUGGAGAGUGGUAAUUCAGCCACAGCGGCAUUACGCUCAUUGAAUAUGGUGGUCGGCUGGAUGAUUAAUUACGAAGCAGUGGCUCAGGGCCUGACCGGGACUUUCGGGGAGUUCCCCAUGUUCAAUGUGUGGACCGAUUGUGACAUUGACUCCCAGCGUGGGCAACAACUGGAUCUAGGCUUUGACAGUCUAGUGCGUAACAAUGGCUGCGAUCCCAGGAGCGAGACCAGCGCAGCGAUGUCAUUUCCCCGACGUCUGCACCAAUGACGAGGGCAGUGGAAAUUGAGUCAGUGUGGGGGAAAGUUUGUCAAUCUGUCGAAUGUUUCGCCAUCGUCGGACCUGCAGUCCCAGCAU